RNAcentral lists this ribosomal RNA (644 nucleotides) under Globigerinella siphonifera. RNAcentral's name for it is "partial 18S ribosomal RNA". The stretch from base 1 to 553 matches the Rfam family "Eukaryotic small subunit ribosomal RNA", at positions 1292 to 1607 of the family's 1831-position model. Lineage: Eukaryota; Foraminifera; Rotaliida; Globigerinidae. The record is from RNAcentral.
UCUUAGUUCGUGGAGUGAUCUGUCUGCUUAAUUGCGUUUCAAAUUUUAUAUUUGUUAACAUGCGAGUCUUCAAUGACGGCCACUCCACCUUAUAGACAUUAUAUGAUAUGCACAUUUGUGUAUUUGAUUAUAACUUGUCUGGAGUCUGGCUCGAUUUUUUUGACUCAAUUGAACGCAACGGACGUGAUUGCAAGUCCUUGUUGAACAAAUUAUAUAUAUACUACUUCAUCAUUAGUAUAUAUAGUUCGCUUCUCAUGUCGUAGCAGUCAAACGGGCGGGCGUCUUAAUUGGCGCGGUCACGAGGCUUAAUAUGCUGCGGCUGGGAAAACUUGGGCGACCGCUGUAAUACUUCUCUCUUAAACCAGAGGAAGAUUGCGGCAAUAACAGGUCUGUGAUGCCCUCAGAUGUCCCGGGCCGCACACGUGCUACAUUGAUUAGCGCAGUGCGCAUACUUACAUAUAGAUCAUUGAUUGGUUAUUUAUAACCGUCAAUAUCGCCUUGUCUGAAAGGACUAGGUAAUCUAUUGUAAGUGCUGGUUCCUCCUCCCGUUGAGCAUUUUAAUAAUGGUCUCUCUACAUCCCUAGCACAUGAUGUCUAGUGCGAUUGUAGUUGAGUUCUGCCAUUUAUGCAAGUGUCAAUUCUCA